UGUAUAUUAUUAUUGUUAUAUUCAUUACUACAUAUAUUAUUAUAUAUAAUACCUUAGAUACUUUAUAGUAUGUAGGUGUUCAUUUUAUAAUAACCUUUGCUCUGUCUGUAAAUGCUGCAUGAACAUUUCUAUAUACAUGAUAAACCUCACCAUUUAAAAACACAUCCUGCCUGUCUACACGCCAUCUGCGGAACAAGCACAGGUUUACAGAUCAAGAGAGCUCGGUCAUGCAGGUUUUCCUAAAUCUCCUCGGUGACACAGGCCACAGCAUGUUUCUUUUUACCCAGUUUAACCUAAUGGGCUUACAUCACUCAAGGACACUAAGGGAUAAAAGAUGACCUCAACAAAAAUGGGGCAAGGACGGCAGGAACUUCCCAGAAACUGCCACCCCAGCUUCCCUCCAAGCUUCUCUUCCCGAUCCUGGGGACGGUCCCUCUGUGCCUCAGGCAUGCAGGCAUGCUCUAGAUCAGAGGCCCCCGGAUCUCUGCCGGGCAGUGCCCUCUCCUCCCACCUCCAUGCCUUCUGCCUCUCUAGGGGACAGCGCUGCCACCAGGCGCCUGCCUGCCCAUGGCCUCCGCCCGUGAAACACGUCCGCCAGCCUCUUCUUGGGUCUCUGCUCAAACCGGACCUGAGGCCAGGUGCAAGAGCCCCCAGGUCAGAAUACAAAUAGAGCCGAAUAAAGCUGCUCCUGGCGUGGGAGGAGCCAGCAAUUUCAGAGACUUUCACGUGCUUGAUAACUAUUAAUAAAUAAACAAAAUUGCAAGCAAAACUGCAACUCAUCGAAUCUGACGGGCUUUCAGAGGGCUUGCUGUAGAUUUUAAUGGACACAUACGGUGGGUCCAGGGGUGGUCUGAGCCUUAAUUGCAGGGAGGCGGGGAGCCCUUUCCUGGACCCACAGCCUCUCAGCUUCUCUCGACGAGUCCGGCUACCGGAGGGAGGAAAGGAGGCUGUCCCACCAGGCCCUCUGUGCACGCGGGGUUCUGGCAGAGCACACCCUCGCAGAGCUUUGGGUUGGAAACCCACCAUCACCCAGUUACAUCCAGAAAGUCCAGUUAUCUAGUUAUGUGCUUAUCUAUACUCACAAGUCUCCAAACUUUAAACUAGCCACUGCUAACCUUAAAAAUACAAGUGUCAGUUAUUUUACCAGUAAAAAUGGGCUUAUUCAAGAAUAGCAGGGAAUGGCAACUCAGGACAUGCCAGCUAAGGUAAAACUAGAGGAAGGUUCUCUGGUAGAGGAAAGAGGCUGUUAUAAACAAAAAGUCCAUUGGGGUAAACUGGGAGCUUGGAAGUGUCGUGCCUUCUCAUUGGCUGAGCUGGGACAGUCUCUCACUGGCUGGGCUGUUGCCAGGCAAGGAGAAAACCUUUCUUCCUCCUGCCGCGGGUGUAAAGUAGGGUCAACUAGCAGGGCCUGUCCCUUCCUGAUGGGGACUGCAAUCUAUGGGGAGGGAUAGGGUGUGAGAGCUCUUCCUUUGGCUGCCCCAUUCCACUUAAAAUAAGGCUUCCUUUUAUUAAUUGUCGCACACUGAAUCCAUGGUCCAGGUUUCCGAAAGCUUUGAAAAGGAUGCCAAAGAGGAGAAGAAGAGGAAGGGGAUAAGGUGAUGAGCUGCUCGGCUAAAGGAAGAAAAGUGACUGGGGAGAAGGGACGGUGGUUAAAGGCUACUUGGAAAGGGAGAUUCCUGAGCCUCAGCCUGGACCGAUUUCAUAAUUCAGCCAAAAGGUGUCCGCCCCCAGCCCACCCCCAUUGCAUGGUCCGUGAACUGCAGAGAUGGCAUUUGAGGCCUUUGGCAGAGCCAGGGCCCAGUGGCUUUGAUGUGACUGGUGGCCAGCUUGCUGGAAAUCAGCGUGUGCCCGACAGACAUAAAGCCGAAAUCUCAGUGAGCCCGCAAAUCAGGCUGGAGCUUCCACAACACCCGAAUGCUGAGCCCUUGGGUCGCUUCUGCGCUGUGUGGAUCGUUUUGUUUCCUUCCCUCCUUGCUGGGACGUUCCUUUGGCCUACGCUCACUUACAGUGCUUACUAAGAUCCGAUUUACAGCUAUCCUCACCGUUCCACUGACUUCUUUCUUUGCUUCCUACUUAUUACUGUCGUGAUGUGACACAUAUAUGUAUGUAUACGCACGCAUACAUAUUUAGGACACCUGUCUGUCACUAAUAAUGCUAUACAAAUAUAGGGAUGAUGUAUUUCAGUCUUUUCUCCCUUUAUUUAUAAUAUACGUAAAAAGCAAAUCGUUUCAUGUUCUGAGUAAAGCUGUUUGCACUAAGGUUGGAUCUUGUAAUUCUCUUUUUCUGUUGGGUGUUUUGUUUAGUUUUUAAAAAAGCAUGAGGUCAGGCAAUUAAAAGGGAAUGUUAAUGAAACUGGGAAAGAGGAGUGAAGGCUGAACAUGGGCGUUUUUAAAAAUUCAAGAGAGAUAUAAUAACCUUGUAGAAAUCAGACUCUGCAAAGGAAGCCAAACCUCAGAAGUAAAAACCUGUGAUUGUCACUCUUCGGUCUCUUGUCAGAAGAAAGUGUAUAGUGGAACUGAAUCCAUCCAUUCAGUUCCAUUGUUUUUCCUUGCAAUUUCCACUCUCACUGGUAAUACUUCUGAGGUGUGUGAUGUUUCUCUAUGUGUAUUUUUGUAAAAUAUGUACCGUUGUUUCAUAUGCAUAUAUUUCUAUUUACGUCAUUCUCGCUGGGUCGUUAAAGCCCGUUCACAUUGCGUGUGUCCAGCGGUCCGUUACUCCUUGCCUCCCCCUCAUUUCUGUAUCUACUCCCCCGCCUCGUGAUGGAUCCCCUGAUUGCCUCUAAUUCCCCAACAACGUUUCUGUAGGUAUCCAGGUCUCCCCUGUAUAGGCGUGUGCGAGAAUUUCCACAGGGUAUAUUCCCAGGAACAGAAAUGCCGGGUCGUAAAAUAUCCACAUACUUAGUUUCAGUAAGAACCACCAGAUUGCCGCCAGCAAGGCUAUUCCAUUCUCCGUCCCCACCAGCAGCACAUGGGGUAGGUCGCUACUAAAUGAAGUUGCACACGUUUAAAAUUUUGCCUUGCUCCGAUCAGUUGAGCCCAUCUAAACAUGCCUGCCAGUAAGGUACGCUAAGUGAUAUACAAACCCCGAAUCUCAGCAGCUUAGAAAAUAAAUGGGGACUUCGUGUCCAUGCCCCAGUGCAAUGUGGGAAGAAGUCAGAGAAUGGGCGCUGCUCCAGGCGGUCAGGCGUCUGUGGCAUCGCUCUGUCCUCUCCUAGAGCCUAGAGGAUUCGCUGCGCCCAGCCAGCAGGGGAGGCAGGAGCGAGCCCCCAGGGCAGCCGGGGCGACAGGGGGCUGUACCUGAUCCCUUCUCCUUCCUUAACCAGGACUCAGUCGCGGGGCCCGAGGCCAGGGGGCUGAGAAAUGGGGCCUGGCUGUGUGCGGAGAGGGCACGGAAACUGGCGUCUCCUUCUGUGGAAACUGCGGCCACGACUGCCUGGGAAGCCGGCGAGGGCAGGAGUGGGCCCCACGUACUCCCGCACCCCAGUGCCUGGCAGGUGGCGGUGCUGACCAGAGUCACCGAUGGGCACUGGCUGCCCCUGAAGAGGCUCGCAGACCCCAGCGCCAGCGCCGCCCUCCUAGCCUGAAGCCCUCUGCUCUCCCACCGGGAACACACCAUCUAGGCCACGGAAGCGUCUUGCCGUUCACCCAGGCCUUCCCAAGGCCGUGUACUUAACACUAUUAUUUGCCCUGUGGGAAUGCCUUUCCAACAUCUUCCACCUUCUUAACUCAUCUUAGCUGCCCCUUCCUCCAUGAAGUCUUCCUGGGUUCCUGAGCAGGAAUAAACCCCUCUCUCUGUGCCUCCACCAGGUCUCCUCCCCAGCACAGUCGGCUUUGCAGGAGCCCCCCAGGCCCUCUCAGUGAGUUCAUGUUACUUCAGCGAAUCGUAAACCCUCUCUGGUCCUAGUGAUGUGUUGCCCAUAUUGGCGUCUCUCAUCCCCCACGAAGCCGAGCACAGCUCCGACUCAGGGCCGUCCCGCAUGUGUUCGAGCUGAUGUGACAAUCACGUGGAGACAGCGGCUCCCCGAUGUGAAUGCCCGUGAACUACCCCAGGACCCCAGAAGAACCUGGGCAGGCUGCGCACCUGCGCAGGGCAGAGCAUGGGCAGCUCAGUCCUGCCAAGAGCAGGUGCCCCGGACACCCUCCUCGUAGCUGCCCGCUUCACUCUUUCCUUAUGCUCCCCUGCCCGGCCCAGGACAGGGCAGCUUCCCAGCCGGGCACGCCAGGGCACACCGAGCUCUCCGCGGGUGGGCUGCCAGCACUCGGCCUCUGGGCCCGGCCAUGGUAAGCGUCUCCGGGUGGCUCAGUCCUGGUCUGAUCCCAGCCUUUGGGGGUCAGCCUCACCUACUCCUCAGGUGGUGGCUCCUGAGCAACCCUGACCCGUCCUCUGCUGACAGAGUGUGCUUGCACACAUGUGCACAUACCAGCACACUCAUACAUUCGUGCCCAUACCCACUCAUACACAUGCAUUGCCCACACACACACUCGUGCACGAACCUGCACACUCACACACACAUGUGCAUGUACCCCCCCACACACAGAGACACAAGAAUAUACACAUGAUAGAAACUGAUCCAGGGCUUCGAAGUCGCAACAGCGUUUAGUGUAGCCCUGAACAAAGGUUCUCACCCAGCACAGUGCAGCUCUAUGGAGGCACUCGACAAAUAUUUGUUGAAUGAAGAGAUUAUUUGCUUUCCCACCUCCCACCAACCGUUGCCACUUCGGCGUGCCUCUGCCCACUUGAAACACCUGUUCUACUACGCCAGGUCCCCAAUGUGAUAACAGUGCCAUCCAGGGAUGGGGCCCCAACCUUUGUGCCUGUGUGUCUUCCAUUUUUUUUCAGAAGUUCACCAAACACAGUAUGUGAUUUCCCCUCUGGGUCUUGGUACAUGCUGCUGGGAAUUCCUGCUCCUCAACCCUGGCCCCAUUCCCGUUCCUUCCCCUACCUUACUCCUGGUCACCCUACAGAGCCCACCGAGUGGCUGCUCCUUCCUUCGGAAAGUCCUUCCCAAGUGCCCAUCCCGAUCCCUGUCUGGGGUGAAAUGGAUUAAGUGGACAAAGAGGGAAAACAUCUCCAGCUCUCCUUAGAACUGCUGAUCACACUCAUGGGCAAGGCCAGCCAGAGCUUAUAUGUGCAACAUUGCACACGUGUAUCUACCAACUAUGUUCACAUUGUAUCUUUGUGGUUGCACAGCAACCCUGGGUUGUUGUUAUUUCCAUUUUGGAGAUGGGGAAACUGAGGCUCUGAGCUAUUAAUGAUCCAUGUGAAGUCGCAAGAGCCAGUAAGGCAGAGAGCGAGUGUCACAAUCCAUGUCUCCUGACACGAAAGCUUGUGUUCUUUCCAUUUCAUGGGGUUGGGCUGCAGUUUUUAUGCAGGAGGGAAGACGGAGGUGGUGAAUGAGCUCAGAAGUUGUGCUAAUUGCCUAAAACAGGAGAUCAUGAGGGGCGCUACCCUUUCCACUCCAUACAUCGCUGAGGAGCCCUCAAAACUAGGGGAGGCACGGCUUGAUUGAUUUGGUCCAAUUCAUUUCCCCGGUCCUGGGCCGUUAAUGGAGUGUAUUAUAAACCUCUCUGAAAUAAACACCCCUGUUUACCUGGCAAUCAUGUAUAAUAGCCUCUAAAAGCAUUUGCUGGUAAGGGUUCUCAAUAAAACCGAGUAACGGAGUAAAUGGAGAGGGAAGCCAAUGAGGUGGCAGGUGAGGGUGGGAAGUCCUGCCCUGCCUGUGCCCCGCUCCCGGCCGUGAGGAAGAACAUUCCCUCCUCGGCCAACUGGUGGUGGAAGCAGGUCUCGGCCACCCACCGAGCCUUUAGCGCCUCCCCGGUAAAGUCUGUCUCCUGCACAAGCAGGGCUUUCCCUCCAGGGUCAGGGUAGAGACCCUCUUGCCCCACCCCCGCCGUGGAGAAGCUGGCCUCCAAGCCCCUGCUCAGCACCCAAUGGCCCCUGGGCUGGAGUCAGGUCUCGGGCAGGCCCUCAGGGUGGGGCAGGCAGCCUCAAGUCACCAGCCAGGGCAGGGCCGCAGCCUCUGCGCCCCUUUCCCAGAGGCCCAUCUGAGCACCACAGGAGGGCUGUCUGCGGCCACUCCUCCCGCUCAGCCCGCUGGGCUCUGGAGUGGAGGGAAGGGGAGAGGAUGCCCACCGGCCACGUUUGUCAUGUGAUACACACACCACUCCGGGUCAUUCUCUGCCUUCCACACAGACUCCAGGUCUGGGUCUCACAGAUGAGGAAACUGCGUCCCAGAGACAGACGCGAUCAUGAAGCUGGCUGUUGACAGUCAGCCUAGGACCUGCUGACCCCUGGCCAGUGCUCUCUGCACCCACGGGCCCUCUCCUGGCAGAGCCCUGCUGCCAGCUGGCCCGCUGUCUUCCUGUGAGACCGUGUUUAACACGACCCAGCAGGUGCAACUAGCAAUGGAAAGUCUGCCUGGAAUCAGCUGAGCAGGACUGCAAGCAAGCCUGGCAGCUUCGGUGAGGCCCUUCAUUACCGCUGACUCCCUGCGUCCCCAGGAACUGCCCCCCUUUAGAGCUCACUGAUGGGCUAAGCUCCUCGCUGACACAUCUCUCCUUACCUAUGCCUGUCCGCUGAUGUGGGGCUGGAGACAUGGGUAACGUGGAGCACUGGAACGUUUACUCUUUCCAGUUCUAUAUUUUUUAAAAGCCAUAGUCUUAAGCAAAAGGGGUAAGCAUCUAAGGCACGACUUCAAGCAUCCUACCUAACUAGGGAGGUGAUGCUGGGGAGUGGAGGCACGAUAGUGGGCCUUGUGGCCCCAAAAUAACACCAGGUAAGGAAGUUCCAUUCCACCUGUGUGAGGCGGCCCGAAUUCCGUCUCCACCUCGUACGAUCCAGGGAGAGGCACAGGUCUGGAGCCCCCGGAGGCUGUAAGUGGAGCAGGGCACUGGCCCAUCCGAACGGGUGCCUGCCGGCUGCCCCUGCCAUCUACAGCGGCUGGGUUCAGACUGUGGCCUUCCACGGAGGCUUCAUGACAGCCCUUUCUGGAUCCGGGGGUGUCACCAGCCCUCCGUGUCUGUCUUCCCGUUUGGGCGUCUGUCAGGACUGACAUCUCUCCUUCCUUCCUCCUGUGGCCCCACUGACGUCCUUCUUCAUCUCCAUCUGCCUCACCGUUUCCGCAAGGGCCGCAGGAAAACUCUCGAUUCGCAAAGCUCAGCGAGCCUCCUGGUACCCCGGAGGCUCCCAAACCACACCCCGUCCUGUUCCUCCCAAGCUCACACUCACAUUUCACCCUCGGGAAGCAGUCAAAUGCGUCUGGCAUCUUCGGCCAUCUUUCCAGCUCCUAACGGUUCUGUCUGGGAGUUGGCGGCAAUAAUCGCCUCAAAAGACCCCCAGUGGAGAGGAGCGGACACAUGAUGGGUGCAGAGCCCACGCCUGCUUUAGAACAGGGACAUUCCAGACCAUCAGGGACAGAGGGUGGCUGUGAGGUCCGCUCUUCCCGAAGGCUCUGCUCUGUCCUGCUGGGAGGAGCUGUGGAGUCGGCCCUUUGGAAAUGUCGACUGCAGGGUGACCUCAGCCGGAGGCACCAUAUAGCACAGGCCCUGGCCCUGAGCAGGGAUCCCUUUGGGAGGGGAGGGGGGUCAGGGGCAGGAGAGCUUGUCUGGGGGGUGGGAUUUGUAGAGAAGCACUCGCCUACGUACAAGUCUACGACUCACCUAAGUGUUCAGAGAAGACAUCCAGGCAUGUGCCUGAGGACACAGGCUUCCUGUGUCAAAUGCUCUUGGCUGAGGUGCCCUCUGCACCCCCUGAGACUGUCUAUAACAUUCCAAAGAUCGAUCAGCAAACAUUUAUCAAGCACCAGCUGUAUUCCCGGAAAUGUGCUGAGCAAUGUGGGGGCUGAAGGGAGAAUGGAGGGCCUCCUCACAGAGCCUUGGUCUCCCCUCCUCCCGUACCUCCUCUCCAGCCGGAGACAGGCCGGGUUGACAAAAGUAGCCCCAAAGGAGCAUUCAGACCCUGCAAGAGGCUUGCCAGGCAAGCUAGGAGGCAGGGAGGAGAGAAAACUAGCUGGACCCAGGGGUCUGGACCAGCGGCUGGACCCCGCCUGCCCAUUUGCUCCUGGAUUGUUGCUACACUUUUCUUGUUCCUGUGGAUUCGUUCAUGUUAUGUGUAGGGGAGGGUGGCAGAUGGGUUGAGCCACUAGGUUAUGUUUUCUCCUCCUGUGAAUCAUGAAAAGAUAUGUUAUUUUAUUUUAAUGGUCUGACCGGCCUACACCUCUCCUCCCCGGGGGGCAAACCUGAGGGCCACUCACUCAGGACGCUUUCGGGGGCCACAGUGGGAAUCAGGUGAAGAGCAAAGGCUUCUUAGGCUUCCUGACACCCUCGCAGGUCCUCUGGCCAGUGAGAGGGAGAAGACGGACCCGUUCGGGACCAUCAAGACCACAGCUCUUAGACUUGGUGGAGGAGAAAAUCCUGACCUCAGGAACCCCGGGGCAUCCACCACACACCCUGUACGGAGCAGAGCUGCUGCCUUCCUGUCGGGCAGUUCCACAUGCUGAGGGUCCGAAGUUCCUCUCAGUUGUCCACCCGCCCUUGCCCACCCCCACCCUGAUCCUGGGAUUAAUGGAGACCAGCACCUGAUUUAUACAAGAUAUUGCACUGUUUUAGCAGGAAACGGAGGGGUUCAUCACCCAAGGGAUUCUGGCCCAACCUGAAGAAGUCCAGGUAGGCUGUGGGUUCAAGAUCCACCUGACAGGCAUUCAGGCACCGUGGAUCUCAGCAGUGCUGUGGAAAGCAGAGAGCUUGUGCAGGACAGAGUGAGCGCUCGACCCCCCAGGUCCUUCCUGAUGGAGCUCAGGCCCCAUCUCUCUGCCUGCCCCCCAACACUUGGCUGGAGGCCAGAGGAGCCACUGAGGAGGUUUCCUGAGCCUCGUCCUCCAGCCAUUGGCCUCGUCACACUCACCCCCUCCCAUCUGCUUCUCCGGUCCCCUCCUCCGGCAUCAGACAGCCCCUCCAACAAGAGGCAGAGUGCAUUUUAGUUGAGCGGGGAGGAGGCUGCAAAGCUGAGAAAAGAUGGGCUUAGUUUUGACCGGGCUCAGCUUUAGGCUGAAAACUCUUAUCCACAUAAAUUCUAGGACCCAGAGAGAGAUCUCAGCUGGAGAUCUCAGUGUGUGUGUGUGGGUGAAGAGUACUUGCUCUAUAACAGAAGUGACUUUCUUCUUCAAGCCCCAUUAAAAUUCACCAAAUCUUCCUUCCUUCAGCAGGGGCGGGGGUGGGACAGUCCCUCGGUGCCAGGCACAGGGGCUGGCACUGGCCCAUGCUGCUGGCGCCUGCUGAGAUCACACUGCAUGGUCUGGCUGAAGAUCACCGAUUAACAAGGCUCACAACUUCCCCUUUACCCACGGCCAUGGCCUGCCUGGCUCUCUCUCUGCCCUCUUUCCAUUCCCCACCGAGGAGCGAGGGAAAUCCCUCCGCCGCCCUCUGCCUGCUCUGGGCCAUGAAGCGAACUCCUGCUCUGGCACCACGUUGAGAGCAGGGGCAAGUCUGGGGUCCUGCCACUUCCUCACGCACCCAGGGAAGGGCACAGGCCACGGAUGCUGUGGUCAUGUUUUCUUAAAUAAGGAUAGAGAAGAGAUAAAAUGUAUCUAAGAAUGCAAUUUUGGUUAAUUUAUAUAUUGAAUUCUAUAAUCAGAAAAUAGAGGUGUACCUUUAUUUAAAGCUAUCCAUAUUGACUGCAUAUAAAACAGAGAAAUUAUAAAACUUCUUGAAAGUAGAAAUAAUAUAAAAACCUCUGAUCACAAUGCAAUAGAAUAGAUCUUAACUACAAUACCAGAAAGAAAGGGACACUAUCACACAAAAUCUUCAAAAUUUUCUCUUAAGCACUCUUAGAUUAAUGCAGAAACCAAAACAAAAUUUUUUAAUUAUAGAAAAAAAUCCUACAGGUAAGACUCUAUAAGAUGUAUAAAUAAAGCAGAGGGGAAAAGUCAUGAUCUUAAAUACUUAACAGGUAAAAAUUAAUUAAGCACCCCAAAUCAAGAAGUUAGAGUAACAAAUACAUUUAAAGGAAGCAUAAGAUGAAAUUAAUAAAAAAAAAAA
This is a non-coding RNA of Manis javanica (Malayan pangolin), 10034 nucleotides long. The record is from RefSeq and is a predicted model, not a curated record. NCBI's taxonomy places the organism in Eukaryota, Metazoa, Chordata, Mammalia, Pholidota, Manidae.